GAUGAAGAACGUAGCGAAAUGCGAUAAUUAAUGUGAAUUGCAGAAUUCCGUGAAUCAUCGAGUCUUUGAACGCACAUUGCGCCUCAUGGCAUUCCGUGAGGCAUGCCCAUCUCAGCGUUAGAAAACAUUCUCAAAUUUUAGUUUUGUGCUAAAAUUUGGAUCAUGUCAAAGAAGCUAUUACUAUUAUUGUGAUCGCUCUUUGGAAAUUGAUAGGUCUUUGAGUUGCUACUCAUAGAACGUGAUGAAUCUUUCUUCGUUCUAUUGUAAUUCACUCUGGUAGUCCUAAAACUUGUAUGCCUGUGGCAUAUCUUGUAAUUUGACCUGAGAUUGGGUAGGGAUACCCGCUGAACUUAAGCAUAUCAAUAAGCGGAGGA
This 374-nucleotide unclassified non-coding RNA is filed under the name soil metagenome. RNAcentral's name for it is "partial contains internal transcribed spacer 2 and large subunit ribosomal RNA". The stretch from base 1 to 120 matches the Rfam family "5.8S ribosomal RNA", at positions 35 to 154 of the family's 154-position model. The record is from RNAcentral.